GUCACUCAGCCUGCAAUGGUGCCCGAGCCUGACAGUUCAUGCCCAUCCCAGGGCUUCUUAUUCAAAACACAGAUUCAUUGUUGAUUCUAAGCCAAGCCUGGAAUUCUGGCAAGUGUAUGUUUAUAAAGCCACACAGAUGAUCCUAAUGAAGAGCCAGCUGAGGAACCAUGCACCCAGUGCAUGGAUUUCCACACUAAGAUGGCUUUAGGCCAAAAGGUAAGAGCAGAGAAUUUGGAAUUUCAGGGACAUGAGCUCAACUACUGCAACCUUUUCAUAUCCAUUGAACGUCUUGGGCCAAGUUCCUGAAACUUUGUGGCCUUAAUUUCUUAACAUCAUGAUAUAGAGAAGAUUUUUGAGGCUUAACAUGAAAAAACAUAUAUAAGGCACCCAGCAUAGGACCAGCCACCUGGCACUUCUGCAGCUGCGGCACCUACCAUCAAAAAAGAUGUGAUGCAUUUCGCUGAAUUCAUGACGUUGAUGCAUUUACCUGAACUGACUGCAUAGUGGAAGAGAUGACAAGGACUUUGUCCCAUUUCACAGAUGAAGAAACCGAGGCAGAAUGUCACAGAGCUAGCCUGUAGUGAAACCAUGACUCACACCCAGAACUGUGAUCUCCAUUUGGUAUUCUUGGCAUUAAAGCUCUCUGAGGGAGAAAGAAGGAAGGAAGGAGGAAGGGACAGUUGUUCUAGGAGGUAGGUGGUGAUGAAAAGAAAUCGCCUCAGGUCUGUUUGUUCACACUUCCUGCCAAAUAAAGGCUGUGUCUCUCAGCAGGUAAAGAACUAAACAAACUGCCUCUGGCAGGCCCAGGAUGGAGAUAUCAGCGUCAGAAGAGGGCCUUGCUGAGAUCUUAUGCUUCUGGAGGGUCACAGGAGGGGUAGAACUCAUGGAAAUAAAACUUCUGAGUUACUAAAAGAAGCCAUCCUGAGGCAUGGGCAUGAGGGCUAAAUGUCUUUUCAGAGAAGCUGACAUCCUUUAGCUUUAGUUUUUCCUCUCUUUUCCCCUCCCUUCUCCUCUCUGCUGCUUCUGGAUGCACGGUCCUGAACAAGUUUUUAAUUCUUCAAGGAGAGAAACUUAAAAGUUAGCAUCCCUAAGAGGCAGGCAAUGCAGUCAACUUCAUACUAUGGUAUAAAUGACUAAUAGAAACAACUUAUCUCUGAGCUUUUUGUUUCAUAUUUUGAGAGCAACAACCUGUACAGAGCAUUGUGCUGAGCACCUGCCAUCCACAAGGAAUUUACAGCUACAGGGAGCCUGCGAUGGUUACAUUCUAGUCCUCUCUGUGCUCUCACAGCCCUUUUCAUUGAGCUGUGAAAGUCUCACAUUUUACAGUCCUCUGUGCCCAUUGCCGGGAGCUAUAUAGGUGUGGCCCUCUUCUACCUGGAGCUCACAGUCUCGCAUGGGAGAGACUGAAGGAAAAAGCAUCAUCAUCCAGUGGGAGAGACAAAUUAAAUCUAGGGCUUACCAAGAGGGUAGGAGGGGUGAGUGAACCUGACUGGGGGAGGCAGGAGGGCUUCAGGGAGAAGAUCCCUGAUAGAGAUUUUAAAGGAUAAGAAUAAGAUGGAUGUAGGCAAAGAAGAAGGAGUAGAACAUCUGAAAUUGAGAACAACCCAUGUGAAGAUAUGAGCCUUUUGAAAAUCAGAUCACAAAGCUAGUCAGUGACAUACCAAAGCUUUAAACUUAGAUCUGUUUAACCUCAAUGCCAAUUCAGUGGAGACCACUCUCCCUGGAGAGGUAGAAGUGGGGAGAUAGUGGGAACUGGGGUGGUAUUUCUUAGAGCUUCUUAUUGAAUGAACUGGUGAAAAGGGAGAGUUCCCUGAUUUCCCUCGCAGGAUGUGUAGCAGGGGUGUGGCUCACCUGCUUGUUUGCCCUGCAGCUCAAACCCCUAGGAGAAGCAUGCAGACAGGCAGGUGCAGAGGCUGAGGUGAGUACUUUUGGGCUCCUGCCCCACCGCAACAUCAAGAGGUGGGUGCCUGUGACUCCUGAAGCCCAAGUAGGUGUGUGCUACAAAGCUCUUUCAGGUUUGCCAUCUGCAGACAGCUUGUGUGUUAAUCAGCUCAACGGACCCUCUGCCUUAUUCCAAGGGCAGAGAGCCAGUGUGACAGCCUUUUGUAUCCUGAGCUCUUGCCCAGUGUCCUGAAAGAAUUGCAUCAUACAUGAGCUUGAGGGAUGAGUGCAAAGUUUUAUUGAGUGGUGGAGGUGGCUCUCAGCAAGAUAGAUGGGGAGCUGGAAGGGGGGAUGGAGUGGGAAGGUGGUCUUCUCCUGGAGUCGGGUCACCCAGCAACCAGACUGUUCUCUGACCGCCCCCAGCUGAACACCCCUUGUUGUCCAGUAGUCCCUCCUCUUCUUUCUUUCCCUACUGCAUCUUUCCACCAUUGCUGGUGUGCCGGUCCACUCGUCUGCUGAUCUGCUGGUCUCAAUGUUCAGCCGCUUGUGUGUGUGCCCACUAAGGUCUCAGGUUUAUAUGGGGCAGCAGGGGGAUAAUGGCAGGCCAAAAGCAACUUUUUGGGCACAAAAACAGAAAUGCCUGUCCUCAUUUAGGGCAGCAGGUCUUCAGGCUUGAGGGAGGGGCCUUUGUUGGGUAAAUGCCCUCUUCUACCCAGUAUUUCCCUGUCUCCUGUUUGUAUCACUGGCACUCCACCCCCAACCCAGCCACAUGACCUUGGGCAAGGGACGUGACCUUCAUCUCUGUAAGAACCUUUUUCCCAUCAAGGAAAGGAGGCAUUUGAUCUCUGUGAUGCUGAUGUGGCUGCAUGCUGGGGUGAGUGCAGCAGCGUUAGUUCUCUCGUGGUCUCUGCCAUAGAACAAACCACUGCCCAGCCAUUGCCCAGUGACUGAGAAACUCUCUGUGUGGGCAGCAGGGGGCUGGCAGUUUUGAGCUCUUGAUAUGAGAGACACAAGCUGUUCUGCAGGGCUCUGUGCUUUCUCUAUGACCAAUGUUUUUGAACUUCAGUGUUCACUCAUUGCCUUGGGGUCAUAGAUGGUCAUGACAGGAUGGGGUCUUCAGGGAUCUCUGCACUGUCCUCGCCUUGUUGUUAGCACGGAAUCUGAGGCUUGGGGAGGGAGAGUCCCCAGGCCAGUGCUGAGACAAGGCCAGAAGCCUCAUCCCCUGAUCCCUGUGGCUUGUUUCCCACCACCUAUUACUGUCUUAGGGGAGUCAUAGAUAAAGCUCUUUGGCUGUAAGCAAUGUCUCUGGAGGCUCAUCAAGCAGCAGAGAAGAAAUAGCUUCAGCAACUAAUUUUUGUCUGAAAAGAGGAAAACAAUAAAGACCUUAAGAGAGAAAUAAACUUGGAGGCUUGGUGAAGAAAAAAAUUAAAGAAAAACUGCCAAUUGCUGGCAAGAAAAAUGAAGAAAGUAUGUAAACACUGGAAAGAGUAGGUGAGGAAAAUAAAACAACAAAAUAAAGAGCUGUUUAUUCAAAAAUUCCUGUGACUGUGACCAGGUCAAUCACUCCUCAAAAACCAUCCAUAGCUCCCUAGUGCCUGGAGGAUAGAAGUAGAGACUUGGAAUCUUUGAGUUAGAAGCAUGUCUAGUUGGUGCAUAUAGGGCUCAAUCCACAUUGUUUAAUUUUAAAAUAUUGGGGUUUUUUUUAUUUAUUUUUGGUGGGAGCAGGGAGACAGAGUCUCACUCUGUUGCCCAGGCUGCAGUGCAAUGGUGCGAUCUCAGUUCAUUGCAACCUCUGCCUCCUGGGUUCAAGCAAUUCUCCUGCCUCAGCUUCCAGAGUAGCUGGGAUUACAGGUGGAUUACACAACCAUGCCCAGCUAAUUUUAUAUUUUUAGUUGAGACAGGGUUUCACCAUGUUAGCCAGUCUGGUCUCCAACUCCCAACCUCAGGUGAUUCGCCAGCCUUGGCCUCCCAAAGAGCUGAGAUUAUAGGUGUGAGCCACCACGCCCAGCCAAAAAUAUUUUUUUGAGUGCCCAAAGAAAUAUAUAUUGUACAAAAAUAUAAAUACUAGGAUUAAGAUGGUGAAUAGGAGGCAGGACUAGCUUGCAGCUCCCGCUCCGAUGCACAGAGCAGCAUGUGGAGAUUCACAGCAUGAACUUUUGCUCCAAGAACUACCACAGGGACAAACCAGGAAAGCUGAGAGAAUCCACAGACCCUUUGAAGGAACUGGAUCACUGCUGCAGUCUCCCUGAGAUGCCAAAAAACUGUGAGUCUGCUUGCUUUCUCAGUGGAGAAACUCAUAGACUCAGCCCUGGUCACUGGCUGCCUGGAAAUAGAGUCAGUGCUGUUAUGGGGGCACAGUGGGAGUGAGACCAGCCUCUGGGACUGUAGGCUGCAUGGGAGAGGUGUGAGACCUGUGACUGCCAGCUUUCUCCCCACUCUCCUGGCAACCUGUAUAAGUCAGCAGAGACAGCCAUAAUUCCCCUGGUAAUAUAACUCCACUGGACUUGGAACCACAUUCCCAUCUCCUAAAGCAGCUGCAGCAAACCCUGUCCAAGGAGAAGCUAAGCUCAGACAUGCCUAUCCUUCUCUGCAUCUGGUGGUCUUUCUCUACCUGCCCUGGUAGCCAAAGACAAAGGUCAUAAUCUCCUGGGAGCUCUACAGCCCUGCCCACUGGCUGAG
RNAcentral lists this long non-coding RNA (4560 nucleotides) under Homo sapiens (human). RNAcentral's name for it is "HSALNT0144508". The record is from RNAcentral. Lineage: Eukaryota; Metazoa; Chordata; Mammalia; Primates; Hominidae.